UAAAGUACAGAAAGACAGAAAAAGGCAGAGGGUGAUGCCUACAUUGAAACUGACAGGCAGGGAGACAAGCAGCUAGAGUCAGUAGGAUAUACAGGCAUAGAUAAAAGGCCUAAUAAGCAUAGACAUGUGAAAGAAAUAUAGAGAAACUUGGAAACACAGAAGGAGAGACAGAAGAACUGACCAGGUAUAGAAGAAGGAUAGCAGAAAAACAGGUUGACAGAAAAAAAUGACCACAGUGAGGCAGGCAAGAUCACCAAGGGAAACACAAAUAAGUGAACAGAAAGGAGAAGAGAGAGAGAGAAGAAAGGCACACUGAUGAAGAAAACUAUAAGGUAAGAAGGAAGACAAAGUGAUAACAGUGUUUUAUACAACAGAGUGCCUUAUAAUUAUUUCAGGCAGACAGGGAGAAUCCAGCAGACAGAUGGGGUGAUGGAGAGAUAUAUGUCAAUCACACAGAAGAGAGGAGAGGUAGCCAAUCAGAAGGAAAAGCUAGAAUGAAGACCAAGACAGAUACAAAGAAAGAAUAAACAAACAAAUAAAUAAAUAAAAGAGAAGGGGUGGUGGGGGGAGAAAGAAGAGCAACACAGAGAUAAGAGGCUAAAACAGUUGAAUUCAGGAAUAUACAGUAAAUAAGCAGAAAUGAAAGAACAGUAUAUCCUGUAAAGUCUUAUCAUCUUUCUCAAAGAGACCUGGUUAGAAGCUGAGUCUUUGUCUCCCUGCUAAAGAGUUAUAAUGUUUCUAAGGCAGCAUGGGAGAAGAUCCAGAAGGAAGGAUGAAAAAGGAGACAUUUUAAUAAGGAGCAAAGCUGUUGAGAUGAGGAGAAAGAAACUUCUGGGAUAGGCCCAAGUCAACCACCUAAAAGGAGCUGGCUCAUGCCUGUAAUCUGAGAUACUCUGGAGGCUGAGGUAGGAGGAUCACAAGUGUGAGGCUAGCCUGGGCAACUUGAUGAGACCCUUUAUCAAAACAGAAGUAAAAAGGCCUGGAGAUGUGGCUCAGUGGUAAAGAUCCCCUGGCUUCAAUCCCCAGUACCAAAGCAAAACAGUACAAAACUCUCAAAGGAUCUAGGUUGGUAUGACUUCAUAGAAUUCAUAUAGAUAAAAAGGAAAGAUAGAGCAGGCCACUGUCUAUUUGUGUUUAAGCACAGCUUACAAACUAUCUGUACUUAUUAAUUGUACUACUAUUUAUCUGGUAGUUUUUAGUAUAUUCAUUUAAUGCAUUCAUGUCUUUCUUUUCUCAAUUAAUACAUACUUCAGCAAUGAAGAGACCAAGAGUAUGUUUCCAGACAACUAUGUAGAGUAGAAUAGGAGAUCAGGAGAGAACAAGACCUUUCUAAGAAUUCCUUUGGUACUGGUAGUAAAAGCAGGUAAUUAGCAACAGUCAAUCAAAAACAGAAGUUCCAUAAAGUAGAAUCAGAAAGACAAGAGGCAAGAGGUGGCAAGUCAUGUAAAGUUAGGAAGGAGCAUCCAGCAAAACUGAAAAAAAAAAAAAAACAUAAGGAGUACAGCAAAACCAAGUAGACUUGUGUAUGUAUAGAUUCUUCUCUCAGGCAUUAUCCAAGAAAUGUGACAUAGUGGCUGCCUCUUGGGAGAGGAAAUCAUGGCCAGGGAGCGAAUAAAUGGGAGGUUUACUUUGCACACUGCUAGUACUUUUACAUUUUCAUACCACAGUUAUGUCUAUUCAAAAGUUAAUUGAGGCUCGGCGCAAUAGCAUAAAUCAGUAAUCUCAGCGAUUCAGGAGACUGAGACCAGAAUAUUUCAAGUUCGAG
This 1765-nucleotide long non-coding RNA is filed under the name Marmota monax (woodchuck). The record is from RNAcentral. Lineage: Eukaryota; Metazoa; Chordata; Mammalia; Rodentia; Sciuridae.